UACGUAGGGGGCAAGCGUUGUCCGGAAUCAUUGGGCGUAAAGCGCGUGUAGGCGGUUUCGUAAGUCUGCUGUGAAAGUCGGAGGCUCAACCUUCGAAAGCCGGUGGAUACUGCUCUGACUUGAGUUCGGUAGGGGAGUGGGGAAUUCCUGGUGUAGCGGUGAAAUGCGCAGAUAUCAGGAGGAACACCGGUGGCGAAGGCGCCACUCUGGGCCGAAACUGACGCUGAGGAGCGAAAGCGUGGGGAGCAAACAGG
This 254-nucleotide ribosomal RNA is filed under the name uncultured bacterium. RNAcentral describes it as "partial 16S ribosomal RNA". It matches the Rfam family "Bacterial small subunit ribosomal RNA", at positions 524 to 776 of the family's 1533-position model. The record is from RNAcentral.